This 68-nucleotide transfer RNA is filed under the name Janus sp. RNAcentral describes it as "tRNA-Trp". The record is from RNAcentral. Lineage: Eukaryota; Metazoa; Arthropoda; Insecta; Hymenoptera; Cephidae.
AAGAUUUUAAGUUAAUAAAACUAUUAACCUUCAAAGUUAAAAAUAAUAAAAUUAAAUAUUAAAUCUUA